This 465-nucleotide ribosomal RNA is filed under the name Vreelandella stevensii. RNAcentral's name for it is "partial 16S ribosomal RNA". It matches the Rfam family "Bacterial small subunit ribosomal RNA", at positions 338 to 795 of the family's 1533-position model. The record is from RNAcentral. Lineage: Bacteria; Pseudomonadati; Pseudomonadota; Gammaproteobacteria; Oceanospirillales; Halomonadaceae.
CCUACGGGCGGCAGCAGUGGGGAAUAUUGGACAAUGGGCGAAAGCCUGAUCCAGCCAUGCCGCGUGUGUGAAGAAGGCCUUCGGGGUGUAAAGCACUUUCAGUGGGGAAGAAAGCCUUGGGGCGAAUACCCUCGAGGAAGGACAUCACCCACAGAAGAAGCACCGGCUAACUCCGUGCCAGCAGCCGCGGUAAUACGGAGGGUGCGAGCGUUAAUCGGAAUUACUGGGCGUAAAGCGCGCGUAGGCGGUCUGAUAAGCCGGUUGUGAAAGCCCCGGGCUCAACCUGGGAACGGCAUCCGGAACUGUCAGGCUAGAGUGCAGUAGAGGAAGGUAGAAUUCCCGGAGUAGCGGUGAAAUGCGUAGAGAUCGGGAAGAAUACCAGUGGCGAAGGCGGUCUUCUGGACUGACACUGACGCUGAGGUGCGAAAGCGUGGGUAGCAAACAGGAUUAGAUACCCCGGUAGUC